Molecule: ribosomal RNA, 651 nt
Filed under: uncultured fungus
Lineage: Eukaryota; Fungi
Description: eukaryotic LSU rRNA
Rfam family: 5.8S ribosomal RNA (bases 252-405)
Source: RNAcentral
UCCGUAGGUGAACCUGCGGAAGGAUCAUUACUGAGUUUUGAAGUGGGAUUGAUGCUGGCAUCUUUUUUGAUGCAUGUGCUCAGCCCCGCUCUCAAAUCCACUCAACACCUGUGCACUUUCAAAGUUGUAGUCCUCCGUAAUGGGAGUCGCAAGUCUUUUUUGACUUGCUGGGACUGCGCUUUGCCAUUUAUCACAAACGAUAUUCAUUGUUUUGUAGAAUGUCUAGCCUCAUUGUAGGUGAAACUUAAUACAACUUUCAACAACGGAUCUCUUGGCUCUCGCAUCGAUGAAGAACGCAGCGAAAUGCGAUAAGUAAUGUGAAUUGCAGAAUUCAGUGAAUCAUCGAAUCUUUGAACGCACCUUGCGCUCCUUGGUAUUCCGAGGAGCAUGCCUGUUUGAGUGUCGUGAAAUUAUCAACUCCUAUUCUUUAUUGAAUGGUGAGCUUGGAUUUGGAGAUUGCUGGUGAAAAUCGGCUUCUCUUGAAUGAAUUAGCUGGAAUUUGAUUCGCAGCAUAUAUGCGGUGUGAUAAUGUCGUCACUGUGUAGCUCGGAUUGUCUGGCUUCUAAUCGUCUUUCAUGGACAAUUUGAUCAUUUUGACCUCAAAUCAGGUAGGACUACCCGCUGAACUUAAGCAUAUCAAUAAGCGGAGGA